GCUUUUCGUCCACGGCGGGCACACGGCCAAGAUCUCGGAGCUGUCGUGGAACCCCAGCGAGAAGUGGGUGGUGGCCAGCGUGGCGGAGGACAACGUGCUGCAGAUCUGGGAGAUGGCCGAGAGCAUAUACAGCGACGACAACAGCAACAACGCCAACAGCGCCUCGUGCCUGUCCACAUAAGAAGACGCCGCCAACCAACUUCUUCCCUGAUGUGUGGACGAUGGCCGAUGGGGACAUGGCUCGUUCGUAGUCUUUGGGUGGACGCGUCGCGUGCGGUUUACUUGUAGUGCCUCGUGCGGUUUCGUCGCUUAAUUAGCAGCUGCUGCUAUCGUUUGGCGCCUAGAUCCUGUAGACAUGGAUGGAUGGAGAAGUGACUCUGGAAUAUUUGUGCGUCCAUGCCGAAGCCUGUUGUUGUUACCUGGUGCGUGCGUGUGUGUGUGCGCCUGUUGUCAGGCAGAGGUUUUCGGG
RNAcentral lists this long non-coding RNA (469 nucleotides) under Triticum aestivum (bread wheat). RNAcentral describes it as "long non-coding RNA (TAES_LNC007674)". Lineage: Eukaryota; Viridiplantae; Streptophyta; Magnoliopsida; Poales; Poaceae. The record is from RNAcentral.